This 61-nucleotide ribosomal RNA is filed under the name Euryarchaeota archaeon TMED192. RNAcentral describes it as "partial 23S ribosomal RNA". The record is from RNAcentral. Lineage: Archaea; Methanobacteriati; Methanobacteriota.
UGGGGGAUGGCUCGGCUCGAGAGCCGAAGAAGGUCGUGACAAGCUGCGAUAAGUCGCGGGG